Molecule: long non-coding RNA, 1205 nt
Organism: Solea senegalensis (Senegalese sole)
Lineage: Eukaryota; Metazoa; Chordata; Actinopteri; Pleuronectiformes; Soleidae
Exons: 5
Source: RefSeq, a predicted model, not a curated record
CUCGUGAAAACCAUUCCAAGAGUGGAAGCUGUUAUAGCUAUAACUAUAGUUAUACAGUAGCUGGAGACCAACUCCAUAUUAGUACUGCAUGUAUUGGAUGACAUCAUUACAGUCCCUGUUGGUGUGAUGGUCAGGCGUCCAGAAACAUUUUGUCCAUAUAGUGUACCAGGGAAUAUGCAUGGUGCAGUUAUGGGCAUGGGCAUUAUAAAUCUACUGUGAUUAAUACUGACGCAGGUUGAUACACCUCCUUCUGACCUUGGACCUCGGACAAAGCCUAAUUGUCAGUGUUGUUAAAACUGUGAGUCAUAUUUCUGCGACAAGCUAAAUAAUUCAUUAUCCGUGUGACGAGACUAAUGAAUGCAAAACAAAAGGUUUUUAAAUGAUAUUACCUGCACGCUUUGACAAUGAGAAAGGAGCUACUAAGUGCGACUCAACUCCACUUGUGUGGUGACCAUGGUGUGUUUCUUCUUCUUCUUCUUCUUCUCUGUUCUGUGAAGGAUCUGCAAUGCAAUGAACGUUGUUUACAGCAGGUGGAUAUGACGUCACGGACUUGGAAUCCAUCAAAACAACAACAUCCAAAUCCGCGAUUCUUCCUUUUUUUCUCUUCCCCGUCACUCUCUCCCCCUCUUUUCGUCUUUAUUCUCCGCUCGAUGUGUUACAAUCUAAUAAGAACAUUAAAGAAGGGAGAGCUCGCGAGGCGGACUAGGAGGCAGCGAGUGUGAAACUCCAUUUUCUUGCUCCUUUUCGACGCCCUCGGUAAGAUUAUCUCCUUCUCCUUGUAAGUUAAGUUAAGUUAGUUAGUUAGUUAGUCCCCCACCACCUCCACCUCCUUCACCGGCAGCGGCGGAAGGAGUGGUGUUGUUUACGGUGUGAUUUGUUGUCGCAUGCGUUCUCUCUGUACACAAGCUCGCGUGCACGGCGGCGUCCCUUCUCCUCGCGUAGUCGCGAUUCGGUUCCGUCCGCGUGCGCCUUCUCAGCCGCCGUAACGCGCUGUCCGCCCCGGGCAACAUGGGAAGGAAGUGAAGUUUGCCGCUUUGGGAACAAUUGAAAGCCACCAGUGAAAGUUAAUUACGUCAGAAACUCCUGCUGCUCCAGCCAGGAGACUCCAGUGGUGACAUCCUGUGGAGCCAGAGAUCAAAGGCAAGGAGGCUGUUUUACCACAGCAGGAACUGAAGAUUGCUUUAAAUAAGCAAGUCCUUGUAGAA